GACGAACGCUGGCGGCAUGCUUAACACAUGCAAGUCGAACGAAAAGUCCCUGCCUUUGGGGGGAGCUCGACUGGCGAAGGGGUGAGUAACACGUGGGUUCCCUGCCAUUGCCUUGAGGGUAACCUCAUGCCACUUGGGCUAUUACCGGAUAAGAGCUCCUGCUGCAUGGUGGGGGUUGGAAAGUUUCGCCGGUUGGGGAUGGAAUCGCGGCUGAUCAGCUUGUUGGUGGGGUAGUGGCUUACCAAGGCUUUGCGGGGUGGCCGGCCUGCGAGGCUCACCGGCCAAAUUGGGACGGAGAUACGGCCCGGACUCCUAUGGUAGGCAGCAGAGGAGAGUAGUGCACUAGGGGCGGAGGCCUGACGUAGCAACGCCGCGUGCGGUAUGACGGCAUUCGGGUUGUGUAGCACUGUCGCCUUUGACGAAGCGUUAGUGACGGUAAUGGGUAAAUAAGCACCGGCUAACUACGUG
This 468-nucleotide ribosomal RNA is filed under the name uncultured bacterium. Its description in RNAcentral is "partial 16S ribosomal RNA". It matches the Rfam family "Bacterial small subunit ribosomal RNA", at positions 28 to 507 of the family's 1533-position model. The record is from RNAcentral.